UUAUUAAAAUGCAAGUUUUGGAGUCUAUCACUCGUUAAAGUUGUAAAACCGAAACUUUUCCACAGCAAAAAGCCACUGGCAGCAAACCCAACAUCUUCCAAACCCGAAAUCUGAAAACACGGCCUGAAUCAUGGGUAUAACAAAUUGAAAAGCAUAAUAACUAGUUCCGACUCCAAAAGCAUAAUAACUUUUUCUUUUCCUUUCCUUUCCUUUCCUUUCCUCCAUUUUCUCCGCAAACAAACACGAUAUAGUAGACUCAGGCAUGCACUUCAACAGAACCAAAAACAGCACACGAAAUGCAGAAAACUAAUAAAAAGUUACAUCAGAAUAGAUCAAAUGGACAGUACCAUGCACUGUGAUUCCCAGAUCUACUACCAACAAAAUCUCAAAACUCAAAACCCAUAAAACAAAAAAAUAAAAUAAAAAAUAAAAAAAUA
Molecule: long non-coding RNA, 437 nt
Filed under: Vitis vinifera (wine grape)
Lineage: Eukaryota; Viridiplantae; Streptophyta; Magnoliopsida; Vitales; Vitaceae
Description: long non-coding RNA (VVIN_LNC006860)
Source: RNAcentral